Molecule: long non-coding RNA, 207 nt
Filed under: Homo sapiens (human)
Lineage: Eukaryota; Metazoa; Chordata; Mammalia; Primates; Hominidae
Description: non-protein coding lnc-POTEI-2:13
Source: RNAcentral
CUGUAGGAUGGUGUGCUGCAGUUCACAGACCUAAGUCAAUGUUAGUCUACCACUGUACGUCUGGUAACCUCAAUCCCUGCAACCGGAGCAAAAUGUGAUUCCAGGUCUUGGCAACCUCUGAAAUUCCAACUCCAUUUGCGAGAGCUUUGAGGAGGCCAUAUGCUGAUUUCACCACAAGCAACUUCACAACCCAGUACUGGAAUGCCA